UCGCAGUCUGCAACUCGACUGCGUGAAGGUGGAGUCGCUAGUAAUCGCGGAUCAGCAACGCCGCGGUGAAUACGUUCCCGGGCCUUGUACACACCGCCCGUCACACCAUGAGAGUCGGGAACACCCGAAGCCCGUAGCCUAACAGCAAUGAGGGCGCGGUCGAAGGUGGGUUCGAUAAUUGGGGUGAAGUCGUAACAAGGUAAC
This 204-nucleotide ribosomal RNA is filed under the name uncultured bacterium. Its description in RNAcentral is "partial 16S ribosomal RNA". It matches the Rfam family "Bacterial small subunit ribosomal RNA", at positions 1298 to 1500 of the family's 1533-position model. The record is from RNAcentral.